RNAcentral lists this ribosomal RNA (481 nucleotides) under uncultured bacterium. RNAcentral describes it as "bacterial SSU rRNA". It matches the Rfam family "Bacterial small subunit ribosomal RNA", at positions 29 to 524 of the family's 1533-position model. The record is from RNAcentral.
AUUGAACGCUGGCGGCAUGGUUAAAGCAUGCAAGUCGAACGCGAAAGGGACUUCGGUCCCCGGUAGAGUGGCGAAAGGGCGAGUAAUGCGUUUCUAACGUACCUCAAGGCCAGGGAUAGCCAGGGGAAACCCGGGGUAAUACCUGAUAAUCCCAGGAAGUCGUAUGUCUUCCUGGGCAAAGGCUUGCCACCUUGAGAGCGGGAAACGUGCUAUCAGCUAGUUGGUGAGGUAAUGGCUCACCAAGGCUUAGACGGCUAGCGGGUGUGAGAGCACGACCCGCCGCAUCGGGACUGAGACACUGCCCGGACUCCUACGGGAGGCUGCAGCGACGAAUAUUCCGCAAUGGGCGCAAGCCUGACGGAGCAAUGCCGCGUGUGGGAUGAAGCAUCUCGGUGUGUAAACCACUGUCAGGGGUCACCAACUCAAUGAGGAGCCCCAAGGGAAGGGCCGGGCUAACUCUGUGCCAGCAGCCGCGGGUAAU